RNAcentral lists this ribosomal RNA (996 nucleotides) under Escherichia coli. RNAcentral's name for it is "partial 23S ribosomal RNA". It matches the Rfam family "Bacterial large subunit ribosomal RNA", at positions 161 to 1197 of the family's 2925-position model. Lineage: Bacteria; Pseudomonadati; Pseudomonadota; Gammaproteobacteria; Enterobacterales; Enterobacteriaceae. The record is from RNAcentral.
AAUCCAUAGGUUAAUGAGGCGAACCGGGGGAACUGAAACAUCUAAGUACCCCGAGGAAAAGAAAUCAACCGAGAUUCCCCCAGUAGCGGCGAGCGAACGGGGAGCAGCCCAGAGCCUGAAUCAGUGUGUGUGUUAGUGGAAGCGUCUGGAAAGGCGCGCGAUACAGGGUGACAGCCCCGUACACAAAAAUGCACAUGCUGUGAGCUCGAUGAGUAGGGCGGGACACGUGGUAUCCUGUCUGAAUAUGGGGGGACCAUCCUCCAAGGCUAAAUACUCCUGACUGACCGAUAGUGAACCAGUACCGUGAGGGAAAGGCGAAAAGAACCCCGGCGAGGGGAGUGAAAAAGAACCUGAAACCGUGUACGUACAAGCAGUGGGAGCACGCUUAGGCGUGUGACUGCGUACCUUUUGUAUAAUGGGUCAGCGACUUAUAUUCUGUAGCAAGGUUAACCGAAUAGGGGAGCCGAAGGGAAACCGAGUCUUAACUGGGCGUUAAGUUGCAGGGUAUAGACCCGAAACCCGGUGAUCUAGCCAUGGGCAGGUUGAAGGUUGGGUAACACUAACUGGAGGACCGAACCGACUAAUGUUGAAAAAUUAGCGGAUGACUUGUGGCUGGGGGUGAAAGGCCAAUCAAACCGGGAGAUAGCUGGUUCUCCCCGAAAGCUAUUUAGGUAGCGCCUCGUGAAUUCAUCUCCGGGGGUAGAGCACUGUUUCGGCAAGGGGGUCAUCCCGACUUACCAACCCGAUGCAAACUGCGAAUACCGGAGAAUGUUAUCACGGGAGACACACGGCGGGUGCUAACGUCCGUCGUGAAGAGGGAAACAACCCAGACCGCCAGCUAAGGUCCCAAAGUCAUGGUUAAGUGGGAAACGAUGUGGGAAGGCCCAGACAGCCAGGAUGUUGGCUUAGAAGCAGCCAUCAUUUAAAGAAAGCGUAAUAGCUCACUGGUCGAGUCGGCCUGCGCGGAAGAUGUAACGGGGCUAAACCAUGCACCGA